This 65-nucleotide transfer RNA is filed under the name Hormogaster castillana. RNAcentral describes it as "tRNA-Leu". Lineage: Eukaryota; Metazoa; Annelida; Clitellata; Crassiclitellata; Hormogastridae. The record is from RNAcentral.
AAGUGCUUUGGCAGAUUAGUGCCUUUGAUUUAGGAUCAGUUCAUGGGUAAAUUCACUCAUUAUAU